AGGGGGAUAACUACUGGAAACGGUAGCUAAUACCGCAUAACGUCUUCGGACCAAAGUGGGGGACCUUCGGGCCUCACACCAUCGGAUGUGCCCAGAUGGGAUUAGCUAGUAGGUGGGGUAACGGCUCACCUAGGCGACGAUCCCUAGCUGGUCUGAGAGGAUGACCAGCCACACUGGAACUGAGACACGGUCCAGACUCCUACGGGAGGCAGCAGUGGGGAAUAUUGCACAAUGGGCGCAAGCCUGAUGCAGCCAUGCCGCGUGUAUGAAGAAGGCCUUCGGGUUGUAAAGUACUUUCAGUGGGGAGGAAGGCGAAGAGGUUAAUAACCUUUUCGAUUGACGUUACCCGCAGAAGAAGCACCGGCUAACUCCGUGCCAGCAGCCGCGGUAAUACGGAGGGUGCAAGCGUUAAUCGGAAUUACUGGGCGUAAAGCGCACGCAGGCGGUCUGUCAAGUCGGAUGUGAAAUCCCCGGGCUCAACCUGGGAACUGCAUUCGAAACUGGCAGGCUAGAGUCUUGUAGAGGGGGGUAGAAUUCCAGGUGUAGCGGUGAAAUGCGUA
This 560-nucleotide ribosomal RNA is filed under the name Erwinia sp. C8-2. RNAcentral's name for it is "bacterial SSU rRNA". It matches the Rfam family "Bacterial small subunit ribosomal RNA", at positions 137 to 692 of the family's 1533-position model. Lineage: Bacteria; Pseudomonadati; Pseudomonadota; Gammaproteobacteria; Enterobacterales; Erwiniaceae. The record is from RNAcentral.